This 1813-nucleotide long non-coding RNA is filed under the name Phoenix dactylifera (date palm). RNAcentral's name for it is "long non-coding RNA (PDAC_LNC008017)". Lineage: Eukaryota; Viridiplantae; Streptophyta; Magnoliopsida; Arecales; Arecaceae. The record is from RNAcentral.
CCCCUUCGCUCCUCCUCCUCUCCUUGGUGACCGGCGUCCUCUUCCCGACCGAGCGCCGCCCGGACUCCCUCGCGGCCACCACCUGUUCCGAGAUUCAUCCUCUAGAUUUCGAGCGCCGCCACCGCCGCUUGACCACUGAAUCGAACACCGGCGGCCGAGAUCUUCCUCCCACUACCUCUGCCACCGCCGGUAAGCCUCCCUCCUCCUUGCUUUCAUGGGUUUUGGUCUCCUCUGUUUCAACCCAAUCUCGGUUGCUUCUCCUUCCCGUCGGCCACGACGACAGUCGCCGGCCGCCAUGGCGGCCGGCUAGCCAUCGACCGAGGGGUGGCCUCCGGCCACCCAGGCCGGCCACCCCGCCGGCCCUCUCCCUCUCUUCCGUCUCUCCUACUCCCCCUGUCCGUGGGGGGGAUUUUGGGGAAGGAAGAGGCCCAUCACGGGCCAAGCUGGGCCCGUUGGGCCCUAUCCAUUGCAGGCCCAACUUGGGCCCAGUCCAGUCCGGAUGGGCCCAGCUGGGCUGAACCUCUAUAGGCCCGACUUGGGCCCAGUUCACGGCGGGCCCGACUUGAGCCCAGUUCACGGCAGGCCCAGUUUGGGCCCAGUUUUUUUUUUAAAAAAAAAGAGAGAAAGAAGAAGAAAACCCGAAACCCAACUUGGGCCCUAUUCAGAUCCGAGCCCGGAACCCGAACCCGGAUCUGAAACCCGGAACCCGAAACCCNNNNNNNNNNNNNNNNNNNNNNNNNNNNNNNNNNNNNNNNNNNNNNNNNNNNNNNNNNNNNNNNNNNCUGUAAUUUGUAUCUGAUCCCUAUAGAAAAGAUUUAUUACAUAAAGGUCCCCAACUAUAUUUUAUUUAGCCCACUCGAGCUUUAUAAAAUAGUACCCUGUAAAUUAAGUAUUAGUCCCUGCAAUAAAUUUUAUUGUAUAAAUGAACUAAUUAGAAGCCAACCUUGGGGGCCCUACUUAGCUGGGUCUAUACGGGCCAAUUGGGCCGUGCUCAAUGUGGGCCUAUCGGGCCAUGCCCAUUAUGGGCCAACUCUGGGCCCUGUUGGGCCGUGUCCAAUAGUAUUAUUUUUGGAUUUUUGCUUAAUUCUGAUAUUAACAAAGAAUUAAUUAAAUUUAAACAGGUGAACUUGAUCUGCCUAUCUGAAGUAGGAAUUAAGCGAGAAGAGGUAAGUAACUUAAUGCUUCAAAGUGCAUUUUCGAAAUUAUUUGGUAAAAUAAUUAUUAGUGGAUUAAUUUCGAAAUAUGUUUUGUAUUUAGUAAAAUGGGUCUGGCAUGUUAAAUUUCAUUUGAAAAUUUUGUUAUAUACUCUGAAAUCCGUAAAAUAUGAUUGGAUAAUUUAUGAAAUCUAUUUUUCUGUAUAUAUGCAUUCUCAGCAUGGCUAUGAUCUGUUCUACUCUGUUCUGGCCCUGCCAAUGGGGAUUAUACGUUGGACCUGUCGACUUGUUAUCUGUGAGGAACCGGUUUCGACACCGCACCACCGGUGAUUAGAAUAGUGGUUUCUGGACACCGGCUGUCAUCGGUGGGUAAAUAUAGUGGAUUUGGCACCUUGUGCGACCCAUGCCACUGGGUUACGUGGCCGUAGCUUAUUUUGUUGAGAUUCUGGUAUCAGAAUUUUUGGAAAAAUGAUAAUAAGUUUUGAAAAUAGUAAAACGAUGUUAUUUAUGAUUUAUUCCAGUCAUUAUCCUGUAUUUUGACCUGAUAUGCUCCGACCCCACUUUGGGGUAUUUUGUUGCUUACUGGGCUAGUGUAGCUCAUUAUUUUAUUUUCUCUGUUUUUCAGAUCCAGAGGCUUGAUCGCACGGGAAUGGGGAGUG